This 497-nucleotide ribosomal RNA is filed under the name uncultured bacterium. Its description in RNAcentral is "partial 16S ribosomal RNA". It matches the Rfam family "Bacterial small subunit ribosomal RNA", at positions 28 to 507 of the family's 1533-position model. The record is from RNAcentral.
GAUGAACGCUGGCGGCGUGCCUAAUACAUGCAAGUCGAGCGAACAGACGAGGAGCUUGCUCCCCUGACAUUAGCGGCGGACGGGUGAGUAACACGUGGAUAACCUACCUAUAAGACUGGGAUAACUUCGGGAAACCGGAGCUAAUACCGGAUAAUAUAUUGAACCGCAUGGUUCAAUAGUGAAAGACGGUUUUGCUGUCACUUAUAGAUGGAUCCGCGCCGCAUUAGCUAGUUGGUAAGGUAACGGCUUACCAAGGCAACGAUGCGUAGCCGACCUGAGAGGGUGAUCGGCCACACUGGAACUGAGACACGGUCCAGACUCCUACGGGAGGCAGCAGUAGGGAAUCUUCCGCAAUGGGCGAAAGCCUGACGGAGCAACGCCGCGUGAGUGAUGAAGGUCUUCGGAUCGUAAAACUCUGUUAUUAGGGAAGAACAAAUGUGUAAGUAACUAUGCACGUCUUGACGGUACCUAAUCAGAAAGCCACGGCUAACUACGUG